RNAcentral lists this ribosomal RNA (259 nucleotides) under uncultured bacterium. RNAcentral's name for it is "partial 16S ribosomal RNA". It matches the Rfam family "Bacterial small subunit ribosomal RNA", at positions 524 to 782 of the family's 1533-position model. The record is from RNAcentral.
UACGUAGGGGGCUAGCGUUGUCCGGAAUCAUUGGGCGUAAAGAGCGUGUAGGCGGCUCGGUAAGUCCGCUGUGAAAGUCCAGGGCUCAACCCUGGAAUGCCAGUGGAAACUGUCGAGCUAGAGUCCGGAAGAGGCGAGUGGAAUUCCUGGUGUAGCGGUGAAAUGCGCAGAUAUCAGGAGGAACACCGGUGGCGAAGGCGGGUCUCUGGGCCGAUACUGACGCUGAGGAGCGAAAGCGUGGGGAGCGAACAGGAUUAGA